AGUGAACGCUGGCGGUAGGCCUAACACAUGCAAGUCGAACGGCAGCACAGUAAGAGCUUGCUCUUACGGUUGGCGAGUGGCGGACGGGUGAGGAAUACAUCGGAAUCUACUUUUUCGUGGGGGAUAACGUAGGGAAACUUACGCUAAUACCGCAUACGACCUACGGGUGAAAGCAGGGGAUCUUCGGACCUUGCCCGAUUGAAUUAGCCGAUGUCGGAUUAGCUAGUUGGCGGGGUAAAGGCCCACCAAGGCGAAGAUCCGUAGCUGGUCUGAGAGGAUGAUCAGCCACACUGGAACUGAGAAACGGUCCAGACCCCUACGGGAGGCAGCAGUGGGGAAUAUUGGACAAUGGGCGCAAGCCUGAUCCAGCCAGACCGCGGGGGUGAAGAAGGCCUUCGGGUUGUAAAGCCCUUUUGUUGGGAAAGAAAAGCAGCAGGUUAAUACCCCGCUGUUCUGACGGUACCCAAAGAAUAAGCACCGGCUAACUUCGUGC
This 493-nucleotide ribosomal RNA is filed under the name uncultured bacterium. Its description in RNAcentral is "partial 16S ribosomal RNA". It matches the Rfam family "Bacterial small subunit ribosomal RNA", at positions 29 to 508 of the family's 1533-position model. The record is from RNAcentral.